GACAGAGGGUGCAAACGUUGUUCGGAAUUACUGGGCGUAAAGCGAGUGUAGGCGGUCCGAUAAGUCGGGUGUGAAAGCCCUGGGCUCAACCCAGGAAGUGCACUCGAAACUGCCGGGCUAGAGUAUCGGAGAGGUUGGUGGAAUUCUCGGUGUAGAGGUGAAAUUCGUAGAUAUCGAGAGGAACACCGGUGGCGAAGGCGGCCAACUGGACAUGUAUUGACGCUGAGGUGCGAAAGCGUGGGGAGCAAACAGG
RNAcentral lists this ribosomal RNA (253 nucleotides) under uncultured bacterium. Its description in RNAcentral is "partial 16S ribosomal RNA". It matches the Rfam family "Bacterial small subunit ribosomal RNA", at positions 524 to 776 of the family's 1533-position model. The record is from RNAcentral.